CUCAAAGUUGAGCUUUCAUUGCACAAAUAAAAUGGAGUAUUCCUUCUCCCCAUUCCCAAUUGUCACCAAUAUCUAGCAGAGGGAAUAUUUAAAACAUUUUUUCCCUUCAAUACAGAAUGGCUGUUGGGUGUCGUCAGAUCAUGUGAAAAAGCAGCUGAGUGGAAUUUUUCCAGCAACAAACAAGAAACAAAAGAAGGGAGGAUUAAAAAAUGGUUUUGUUGCUGCAUGUAUUUUUAUAAUGUGCUAUGGUACAUGGUUUUUUUAAUUACUGUUAGGAUGUGAAGAAACAAAGAAAAAGAGCAGACAAGUGUGCUGCCAUAGAACUUGGUGAGCAUUACUUGUUACAGAACUGAAUUUUAAGGCAUCACACAUCAGUUAGUGACAUGUAUUGAGGACCAGGAGGAUGGUACUUUACCUGGAUCUACUGAGAAGAGAACAUCUUUGACACAGUACAUAAAAUGAUGCAUCAUUUUGUUCAUAAUCAGGAGGACCCUUCUGGGAGUCAUGUGAGAGUUCAGCUAUUGACCUUAAAAGACAGAAAAUGUCUAUCUCUGUUUGAGGAAAAGAAAAUCUUGGCCAAAGAUACCUCUUAGGAAUUAGCCUGGAUGCUACAUGGUGU
Grus americana (Whooping crane) is the source of this 619-nucleotide long non-coding RNA. RefSeq lists it as uncharacterized. NCBI's taxonomy places the organism in Eukaryota, Metazoa, Chordata, Aves, Gruiformes, Gruidae. The transcript has 3 exons. The record is from RefSeq and is a predicted model, not a curated record.